Molecule: ribosomal RNA, 440 nt
Filed under: uncultured bacterium
Lineage: Bacteria
Description: partial 16S ribosomal RNA
Rfam family: Bacterial small subunit ribosomal RNA
Source: RNAcentral
CUACGGGCGGCUGCAGUGGGGAAUCUUGCGCAAUGGGCGAAAGCCUGACGCAGCAACGCCGCGUGCGGGAUGAAGGCCUUCGGGCUGUAAACCGCUUUCAACAGGAACGAAAAUGACGGUACCUGCAGAAGAAGGAGCGGCCAACUACGUGCCAGCAGCCGCGGUGACACGUAGGCUCCAAGCGUUGUCCGGAUUUAUUGGGCGUAAAGAGCUCGUAGGCGGUUGAGUAAGUCGGGUGUGAAAACUCUGGGCUUAACCCGGAGACGCCAUCCGAUACUGCUCUGACUAGAGUUCAGGAGGGGAGUGGGGAAUUCCUAGUGUAGCGGUGAUAUGCGCGGAUAUUAGGAGGAACACCGGUGGCGAAGGCGCCACUCUGGACUGAAACUGACGCUGAGGAGCGAAAGCAUGGGUAGCAAACAGGAUUAGAUACCCCAGUAGUC